This 433-nucleotide ribosomal RNA is filed under the name uncultured bacterium. RNAcentral describes it as "partial 16S ribosomal RNA". It matches the Rfam family "Bacterial small subunit ribosomal RNA", at positions 29 to 507 of the family's 1533-position model. The record is from RNAcentral.
AACGAACGCUGGCGGCAUGCCUAACACAUGCAAGUCGAACGAGACCUUCGGGUCUAGUGGCGCACGGGUGGGUAACGCGUGGGAAUCUGCCCUUGGGUUCGGAAUAACAGUUGGAAACGACUGCUAAUACCGGAUGAUGACGUAAGUCCAAAGAUUUAUCGCCCAGGGAUGAGCCCGCGUAGGAUUAGCUAGUUGGUGGGGUAAAGGCCUACCAAGGCGACGAUCCUUAGCUGGUCUGAGAGGAUGAUCAGCCACACUGGGACUGAGACACGGCCCAGACUCCUACGGGAGGCAGCAGUGGGGAAUAUUGGACAAUGGGCGAAAGCCUGAUCCAGCAAUGCCGCGGGAGUGAUGAAGGCCUUAGGGUUGUAAAGCUCUUUUACCCGGGAUGAUAAUGACAGUACCGGGAGAAUAAGCCCCGGCUAACUCCGUG